GCGGGCGUAGCUCAAUUGGUUAGAGCGCCAGAUUGUGAUUCUGGAGGUCGCGGGUUCGACUCCCGUCGCUCGCCCCA
Molecule: transfer RNA, 77 nt
Filed under: Alphaproteobacteria bacterium
Lineage: Bacteria; Pseudomonadati; Pseudomonadota; Alphaproteobacteria
Description: tRNA-His
Rfam family: tRNA
About the family: Transfer RNA (tRNA) molecules are approximately 80 nucleotides in length.
Source: RNAcentral